CAGUGAAUUGUAAUACGACUCACUAUAGGGCGAAUUGGGCCCUCUAGAUGCAUGCUCGAGCGGCCGCCAGUGUGAUGGAUAUCUGCAGAAUUCGCCCUUCAGGCCUAACACAUGCAAGUCGAGCGAGACCUUCGGGUCUAGCGGCGGACGGGUUAGUAACGCGUGGGAACGUGCCCAAAGGUACGGAAUAGCCUCGGGAAACUGAGAGUAAUACCGUAUGUGCCCUUCGGGGGAAAGAUUUAUCGCCUUUGGAUCGGCCCGCGUUGGAUUAGGUAGUUGGUGGGGUAAUGGCCUACCAAGCCGACGAUCCAUAGCUGGUUUGAGAGGAUGAUCAGCAACANCUGGGACUGAGACACGGCCCAGACUCCUACGGGAGGCAGCAGUGGGGAAUCUUAGACAAUGGGGGAAACCCUGAUCUAGCCAUGCCGCGUGAGCGAUGAAGGCCUUAGGGUUGUAAAGCUCUUUCAGCUGGGAAGAUAAUGACGNACCAGCAGAAGAGCCCCGC
This 505-nucleotide ribosomal RNA is filed under the name uncultured bacterium. Its description in RNAcentral is "partial 16S ribosomal RNA". The stretch from base 69 to 505 matches the Rfam family "Bacterial small subunit ribosomal RNA", at positions 1 to 496 of the family's 1533-position model. The record is from RNAcentral.